AGAGUUGAUCAUGGCUCAGGACGAACGCUGGCGGCGUGCCUAACACAUGCAAGUCGAGCGAGGAGAUUCCUCGGGAUGAUCCUAGCGGCGGACGGGUGAGUAACACGUGGGCAACCUGCCUCAUAGAGAGGAAUAGCCUUCCGAAAGGGAGAUUAAUACCUCAUAACAUUGCAGUUUCGCAUGAAACAGCAAUUAAAGGAGCAAUCCGCUAUGAGAUGGGCCCGCGGCGCAUUAGCUAGUUGGUGAGGUAACGGCUCACCAAGGCGACGAUGCGUAGCCGACCUGAGAGGGUGAUCGGCCACAUUGGGACUGAGACACGGCCCAGACUCCUACGGGAGGCAGCAGUGGGGAAUAUUGCACAAUGGGGGAAACCCUGAUGCAGCCAACGCCGCGUGAGUGAUGACGGCCUUCGGGUUGUAAAGCUCUGUCUUCAGGGACGAUAAUGACGGUACCUGAGGAGGAAGCCACGGCUAACUACGUGCCAGCAGCAGC
RNAcentral lists this ribosomal RNA (492 nucleotides) under uncultured bacterium. RNAcentral's name for it is "bacterial SSU rRNA". It matches the Rfam family "Bacterial small subunit ribosomal RNA", at positions 8 to 518 of the family's 1533-position model. The record is from RNAcentral.